ACUCAGCUGACGAGUCUCAAAUUGGACGAAACGCGUGUCAAACUGCAU
This is a non-coding RNA of Schistosoma mattheei, 48 nucleotides long. The record is from Rfam. Lineage: Eukaryota; Metazoa; Platyhelminthes; Trematoda; Strigeidida; Schistosomatidae.